Molecule: ribosomal RNA, 377 nt
Filed under: uncultured eukaryote
Lineage: Eukaryota
Description: partial 18S ribosomal RNA
Rfam family: Eukaryotic small subunit ribosomal RNA
Source: RNAcentral
CAAUAGCGUAUAUUAAAGUUGUUGCAGUUAAAAAGCUCGUAGUUGGAUUUCGGGGCAGCCUGGCUGGUCCGCCGCAAGGCGAGUACUGGUCAGCCGCCCUUCCUCUCGAAAGCCCCGACUGCUCUUUAUUGCAGUGGUCGGGUAGUUCGGGACGUUUACUUUGAAAAAAUUAGAGUGUUCAAGGCAGGCCUACGCCUGAUUACAUUAGCAUGGAAUAAUGGAAGAGGACCUCGGUCCUAUUUUGUUGGUUUCCAGGACCGAAGUAAUGAUUAAGAGGGACAGUUGGGGGCAUUCGUAUUUAAUCGUCAGAGGUGAAAUUCUCGGAUUUAUGAAAGACGAACAACUGCGAAAGCAUUUGCCAAGGAUGUUUUCAUUAA